GCCGAGGGGCAGCGGGGAUAAAGCUUGCUUUAUCUGCCGGCGACCGGCGCACGGGUGAGUAACACGUAUGCAACCUGCCCUUUGCAGGGGGAUAACCGGAAGAAAUUCCGACUAAUACCGCAUAAUACUUUCCGGAGACAUCUCCGGGGAUUCAAAGGAAGCAAUUCCGGCAAAGGAUGGGCAUGCGUCGCAUUAGCUAGUCGGCGGGGUAACGGCCCACCGAGGCGACGAUGCGUAGGGGUUCUGAGAGGAAGGCCCCCCACACUGGUACUGAGACACGGACCAGACUCCUACGGGAGGCAGCAGUGAGGAAUAUUGGUCAAUGGGCGAAAGCCUGAACCAGCCAAGUCGCGUGAGGGAAGACGGUCCUAUGGAUUGUAAACCUCUUUUGCCGGGGAGCAAUGCAGGCCUUGCGAGGCCUGAGGGAGAGUACCCGGAGAAAAAGCAUCGGCUAACUCCGUGCCAGCAGCCGCGGUAAUACGGAGGAUGCGAGCGUUAUCCGGAUUUAUUGGGUUUAAAGGGUGCGUAGGCGGGCUGUUAAGUCAGCGGUCAAAUGUCGGGGCUCAACCCCGGCCUGCCGUUGAAACUGGCGGUCUUGAGUGAGCGAGAAGUAUGCGGAAUGCGUGGUGUAGCGGUGAAAUGCAUAGAUAUCACGCAGAACUCCGAUUGCGAAGGCAGCAUACCGGCGCUCAACUGACGCUGAGGCACGAAAGCGUGGGGAUCGAACAGGAUUAGAUACCCUGGUAGUCCACGCAGUAAACGAUGAAUGCUACCUGUCCGGAGCU
Molecule: ribosomal RNA, 785 nt
Filed under: uncultured bacterium
Lineage: Bacteria
Description: bacterial SSU rRNA
Rfam family: Bacterial small subunit ribosomal RNA
Source: RNAcentral